RNAcentral lists this long non-coding RNA (5875 nucleotides) under Triticum aestivum (bread wheat). Its description in RNAcentral is "long non-coding RNA (TAES_LNC003634)". Lineage: Eukaryota; Viridiplantae; Streptophyta; Magnoliopsida; Poales; Poaceae. The record is from RNAcentral.
GGUUUCAAAUUCAAGGAGCUCCGUUAAGUUCUGAUAUUUGAGUCUGGAAAGCACACAUUUACUUCCAGUGUGCUAUGUAUCUUAGUCAGACCUGGGUAUCUUUUUCUCAUCUCUGCCUAAUGUUUUGCCUGGCUAUAUAUUUCUGUUAGAGGAAGACUUUAGCAUUAUCUUUGGGGUUCAGAUUCUUUGCUAAAACGGAAUAUCAAAUCUACUAUUGGUGUCGAGUGUGCAAUUUAGAUUUGAAUGUAGCCACAUUAGACUCCAAGAAAAUAAAACCAUAUGAGAAAUGCCGUUCCCACUUAUGCAACUACUGCUCUGUUGAGCACAUGUUUAUGAAGUAAUACCAUAUAUAGCACAGUAAUAUUUGCUGUGUUGUCAUCUAUCUUUGUUUUCAGAACUAGGGUUUGCUGGUGGCAAGUCGAAGUCCUUGUAUGGAAAGGAAGGGCAUUUGGGUCUGACACUUAUCAAGUUCGCAAACAACCCAUCUGGCUUGAAGGAGGCUGAGCGCCUUGCCGAGUUUUUUGAGAGGCAAGAUCAUGGACGUGUAGGUUGGUCACGUGCACAGGCUACUCACAACUUAGACCCUGAUACGAACCCUAUGCUGGUUGAGACUGAUAGCAGGGGUGAGAAAAAGAGAAUACUUUAUGGGUGCCUUGCAAUUUCCUCUGAUCUGGAUGAAUUAGACUCGGAUUCAAGAAAAAGGGCUACUGUCAAGAGCAUAAAAGAAUUUGACCCAUCUGACUAGUCUCCUCAGAAAGGCCCACCACCCCGCCAGUUUGUUUAAUUUAGACUGAAACAUCUGUAUCUUCUGUCAUUUCUGAUUUCCUAGAUACAUGCUACUGAUGUGCUCUGGAUAUCUUAGUAUGGAUAUAAUACCUGCCCUUAGGAUGCUUAUGGUCAUUAUUAUUAUUCCUGGGAUUUAUUUUGUAUAAGUCUUUUCUGCCAGGCAUCCAUCGCUCACUGAUUGAAUGAUUAUCUGGAAGACUAAUUGUUCUUCCAAAAUUGGUAGUUAUUUAUUGCAUUAUCAACUGCCCGCAGUAUGAACUGUGAUAUUGAUCUUGCCUGUAGUGCAUUUGGUAGAUAAAUUCUCGGCACAAUUCAUGGUAAUCUGGAAGGCUCAUUAUUCUUCCAAAUUGAUGGUUAUCUAUGGCGCUUGAAUGUUGAAAGUGAGGACGGGAUACAUUUUUUGUUAGGGAUUAACCAGUCUAUAUAUCGUUGCAUUAGGUCAGUACUAUUAUAUUGCCUAUUUCUAGGGAACUGCCAUAAUCUUUGGAUGACCCUCAUGUUUGUAUUGGUCUUCACAUUCGGGUUCUGCUUCCAGCAAUCUGUUGCAUGGCACAAGAUGGUGGCAAAACCACUUGAAUGUCAUGUGGUGCUUCUUAGUACAUUUUUGUUCAAUUUGUGUUUGCAUUAGGGGCAGCUGUCAUUUUGGUUCCAUUACUUGAUAAUUAGGUUUUGAAAAAGAUAAGGCUCAGAGAUGAUAGUGGAGGAAUAAUAGUGUGCUUAUAAGUUAUAACACUUACUAGUAGUAAAUAAGUAUUCGAAUUUGAAUGUACUAUAUGGGAGACUUAGUUGAAGUACCACAUGCUAUAGUUACUUAUCAAAACGGUGUUAUGUCAAUUAAUAUUGCAGUCUAUAGAGCACCAUCAUAUAAAAUGAUAAAUAGCUGCACCAUUGUUUUUAAGGCGUCCUGCCUAGGUGAUAAGGUGCCUUGGCAGCGCCUUGCAAAUAUGCCUGCCUUAGGCGCUUAGAGCGGGUGGUGCUCGCCUUAGGUGGCCUUACUGCCUUAGAAACAAUGAGCUGGACUCUAGUGCAUCUUCACUCUUCUCUUUAUCAGGAUGCCAAAUAUGAUUUUAGCUUGUUUUUUGUUGGUGGGAGUGCAGAUAGUGUUGCUGUGUGUCCUUAGUGCUCCUUCUGCUGCCUUUUUGUUUUGUUUUGUUUUCGAAGCUAUGCUCCUUGUGCUGCCUGGAAUGUACUUAUGCGUAUUGAUUUCCCGGCGGCUGUGCUCGUGGCCGGCCAUCGAAGGUGAUUUAGCUGGGUGGACUUGGAAUGCUGCUGCCUGCUGCAUUAGUGCAGGUUGCUGAUCCACCCGAUGAUGUUUUGGCGUUGCAGUGAUAGCUGACAUGUCUCAGUUGUUCCUUUGUUGAGGUCGAAAUAAUCAGAGAGCAAGCCACACACUUAACUUGAGGGCCCACUUGGCGAUUGAGCGCAGCGAAACCACACAUGGAUCGGCGAUAUCUUCAGCUCUCCUGACAGCUACACAGCGGCGGCAGAGGCCCUGAGAGCUCUUGGCAUCCACCAGGACUAAGGCUUCAGAGAACUACUGGCAGUGACAUUUGCUUUCCGAUGUGUUGGCGGCAGAUUCUGGGGAAGAAACACCAACGGGGACCAAGUUCUAGCGACAUGGACCUAACAGAAACAGAUGAUUAAGUCUAGUGUGUAGUACUAUGUUGAUUAUUUCUGGUUGGUCGCUGGCAGCUGAGUAAAUGGUACGUACACUAUGCUGGCCGUCCCUUGUCGGUUCGAAAUGGAAAAGCGAACAACUUUUUACCGUGAUCUGGUACAGAAGUGUCCAAUGAGCUUUCGGCAGCAUUCAUUUCGGAUCUACCCAACCUAUGCUGGAGUAGUUUUUAUUAACCCAUUCUGUCGCCUUGUUCAUCCAGCAUUCCACUCACUUCCACUGCCGCUGCGUGUUCACUCCCUUGGCUUGCCCACUACAUUCUCCACCGAAAAGAAGAGCACAUCGAGCAGGAAGAUGGAUGCCCAGGGCGCGAUCGACUCGCUCCUGGGCCGCCUCACCACCGUCCUUGUCAGCGAGGCGCAGCUGCUGGGCGGCCUCCGCGGUGACGUUGAGUUCAUCAGCGACGAGAUGGAAAGCAUGAACGGCCUGCUCAUGCACCUUGCCGAGUCCCACAACCGCGACAACCAGGUCCGGGCGUGGAUGAAGCAAGUGGCUGGCCUCAGCCGCGACUGCGAGGGCAACGUCGAGCUGUACAUCCAGUACGUCGGAGGUGCUGGUCCCGGCGCCAGAAAGGGCGUCCUGGGCUCCUUGCUUCGGAUGCUUCGCUUUGUGCGGACCAUGUCCGCCCGCCACCGUAUCGCGACGCGGAUCCGGGAGCUCAAGGUCCGGGCCCGUGACGUUGGCGACAGGCGGGAGAGGUAUGGCGUCACUGUCCCGCCGGCACCAUCUCGCACCAUCCCCGAUGCUUCGGCUCCGCAGCCGGGCGGACCUGAGGAGGAGGAGGAUCUGCGAAGACGUGAGUUGCUCUGUGGUGAGGAGGACAUCAACAAGGUCAUUGAGUGUCUCCCCCAAGAGAACUUGAUCUGUAUUGAAGGAGAGGGUAGCGUGGGGAAGACAGAUAUCGCACGGAAGGUGUUCAAUCACCCUUCCGUGGUGACAAAUAUCCGCCACAGGGUUUGGGUCAACAAUGGAGGGCUGAACAGAGAAUAUCACGAGGUACGUAAGGAGAUACUAGAACAACUACAACACAAGAUGAAGAGCUUGAGGGAAAUUGGCAAGCACUCAAGAAUUUCUGAGUAUAUGUCAGAUGGAAACGUUCUAAUCGUUCUUGAUGGUGUCAAUGACCAACCAAAGGACUACAGUUCCCUAAGUUGUUCUGAACUCGAAGCAUUUACAUACAAUGCAGUACCUCUGAGUGUUCAUCUUUCCGCUGGAUUAUACAGUGACUUUCGUCGGAGAGAUGUUUAUGUAAUAAUGACCGGAAAUCACUUUUAUAAUGACCACAUACGCACAGGAUAUUAUGCCAAAAAGUUCCGGUGUGAAACUCGUCCGAAUUUUUUCAGAAACAGAGCAUUGGGCCUUGCCAAGUGUGAAGGUUCUGCUGUAUUGGCAGUUUUAACCAAGUGCUACCACGGCACCCUUGCAGCGCACCUGUUCCUUUGUCUACUGUAUGUCAAUCCUCGCAGGGCUACGGCGGAACUGGAAACCUUAUGCCGUGUCCUAGAGGAGAGCAGAAACAAUACUGAUAAGACGAUACUUAUGGUCUGCUACAACGAGCUCCCUGGUCAUCACAAGAGCUGCUUGAUGUGCCUAUCAAUCUUUCCUCAAGGACACAUAAUCAUGAAAGCUGAUCUGCUGAGGAGAUGGGUCUCUGAAGGACUGAUAACCAAAAGAAGCGUUGGGACGAGCACGCUGCAUGAUCAGGCCGAGCGCAUCUCUGACUCACUGGUCACUCGAGGCUUUAUAUGUCCUGGAGAAAUCAGCUCUGCAGGCAAGAUUAAGAGCUUUACAUUGAAUUCCAUUGUUCAUGAUUUCAUCGUUACAGAUGUAGGCUUCGUGGAUACAUCAUCACGGCCUGAGCUAGCUCACCGCUUCUCCAUCAACAGUGGGGUAGCAAUACAGGAAGAAUCUCUUUCUGAGUCUGAUUCCGAUCCAUCCGGCCAUGGCAUCUUAACUACAAUUGAGUCUCUGGCCGAAUCUGGUCAAUGGCAGUUUCUGAAGGUGCUGGAUCUUCGAGGCUGCAAAGGGUUGAAGAAGAAGCAUCUAAACAGUAUUUGCAAGAUACUGCUGCUCAAGUAUUUGAGCCUCAGGAAUACAGAUGUCGCUGAACUGCCGAAGGACAUUGAGAAGUUGCAGUGCCUGCAGACAUUGGAUAUCCGGCAGACGGCGGUACGGGUACUUGCCACAAAAUCUGUUGUGCUUCCAAUGCUAAAGCAUCUGCUUGCUGGGAAGAGAGACUCUCCGACUCCAAGCAACGACUCUGAUACUGAUAGGUUCGAAGAGUCGUUUGCGGUGGUGCGCCUUCCCAGGAGCAUCCGAAGAAUGGAAAAACUUGAGGUGCUCUCCCAUGUUGAAGUUGCCCAUAGUGACGAUCUGACUGACGUCGGCAAGCUGCUACGUCUUAGAAAGCUUGGGGUGAUUCUCCAGGGUAAGAAAGAAGAACUGGAACUUCUGUUCCAGCAGGUUGAAAAAUUGUAUGGUUGCCUCCGCUCCCUGUCAAUCCAGAUGGACCAGCAGACGAAAAGCGAGAGUGGUAAGAUCGGCCUCACCUUGGAUUGCUCAGACAAGGGGCCUCCCAUUGAUUCCCACUAGAGAAACUACAGCAGCACAUGUUGUUUGAAACAAGUUAACGCGAGACAAUCUGCACAAAAGGAACAGGGUGGCACACACAGCUCGAGCUGAGCUCUGGGUGUGAAACUGUUUUCUGGGUGUCCAAUGCCGCUGGCCACGGCGUCAACGGCGGAGAUGGAUCGAGUUUGAGUUUCCGACGGCACGGCCGCGACGGCGCCGGCGGCUGAAGCAGAGAAUAGGAGGACUCGUGGCUUCAGCGGUUGACCGGCCUAUGCUGAGUUCUUUUUCUUUUAUGUUUUUUUUCGCGGUUGACCGGCUGUUCCCGGGCCGCAUCAACGAGAAGGCUUUCGUCGAGGUGAGAAAUGGGAGCGAUGUCCAGAAGCCCAGCUCAGGCCAGAAAAAUAUAAAUGGGCCACACUAUUUAUUCUACUAAAAAAAAUACUAUGGCCCAUUUAUAUCAGGUAUGAUAAAAAAACCAUCUUUGAUGAGCACUCCUUCGGGAGCCUUGCAACGAUCAACGCCUCUUGGCGCGCUCUCAGCCGUCCACCACGUGUCGCGCUCUAGAUGCUCUCUUUGGAUUUUAUUUUUUUUAUUUUUCCGCACGCGUUUUUGGCUUUUUAAAUAUUUUUUUUGGUUUUCCACCGGUCUUCCUUAGUUUUUGGAUUUUUUUUUCAAAAAACAAAAAAUUUUGCACGAAAAAAUGCGUUUUUUCUUUCUUUCGCGAGAGUCACGGUUUUGCUUUCUCGAGGGUCAUGGACGUGCCUUUCAGAAACAAAAAAAACUUUUCUAUUUUUUUUCAUUCCGCAAGAGGCACGGCCGUGCCUCUCGAAAACGAAAAAAAAA